Molecule: ribosomal RNA, 445 nt
Filed under: uncultured bacterium
Lineage: Bacteria
Description: bacterial SSU rRNA
Rfam family: Bacterial small subunit ribosomal RNA
Source: RNAcentral
GCUUAACACAUGCAAGUCGAACGGUAAGGCCCUUCGGGGUACACGAGUGGCGAACGGGUGAGUAACACGUGGGUGAUCUGCCCUGCACUUCGGGAUAAGCCUGGGAAACUGGGUCUAAUACCGGAUAGGACCAUUGGACUUCACGGUUUGUGGUGGAAAGCUUUUGCGGUGUGGGAUGGGCCCGCGGCCUAUCAGCUUGUUGGUGGGGUAAUGGCCUACCAAGGCGACGACGGGUAGCCGGCCUGAGAGGGUGUCCGGCCACACUGGGACUGAGAUACGGCCCAGACUCCUACGGGAGGCAGCAGUGGGGAAUAUUGCACAAUGGGCGCAAGCCUGAUGCAGCGACGCCGCGUGAGGGAUGACGGCCUUCGGGUUGUAAACCUCUUUCAAUAGGGACGAAGCGCAAGUGACGGUACCUAUAGAAGAAGCACCGGCCAACUACGUG